Molecule: ribosomal RNA, 104 nt
Filed under: uncultured bacterium
Lineage: Bacteria
Description: partial 16S ribosomal RNA
Rfam family: Bacterial small subunit ribosomal RNA
Source: RNAcentral
CCUUGUACACACCGCCCGUCACGCCAUGGGAGUGGAUUGCACCAGAAGUAGGUAGGUUAACCGCAAGGGGACCGCUUACCACGGUGUGUUUCAUGACUGGGGUG